GUCGGCCUAGCACGCUGCUAGCCUAGCACCAGCAUGCUGCCAGGCUUGGCUCACACCAUCAUCGGUCUGCACCGGCCCAUGGGCCCCUCCGAUAGUCGAUGGGCUAUACCAUCUGCUCCUGGCUUUCUUUCACAUGUAACUUCUCCGUUUGGACUCUGUUUGGACUGUUCUUAGGCUUGUUGAAUUUCGUUCGUCAUCCUAGACCUCAUUUUAGAUUUAUUAUGGUUCGAAUCUUAAGGUAUCUUUUUCAACACCUCGAAUGUCAUAGAUUCUGACCGGCACCUAGCUCCAGUCACAUCAAUACCCCAUCAGAGUCUUACAGUAUUAAAUUGUCACUAGAGAAAUGGUCUCAGGCUCUUUUCAGAAAAAAAUAGAAUAUGAUGCGAAUGAGAGCACAAAACUCCUCCACUUUCCAUCAGCAAUCCAUCCACCGCAACC
Molecule: long non-coding RNA, 438 nt
Filed under: Elaeis guineensis (African oil palm)
Lineage: Eukaryota; Viridiplantae; Streptophyta; Magnoliopsida; Arecales; Arecaceae
Description: long non-coding RNA (EGUI_LNC007630)
Source: RNAcentral